Molecule: ribosomal RNA, 1194 nt
Filed under: Triticum aestivum (bread wheat)
Lineage: Eukaryota; Viridiplantae; Streptophyta; Magnoliopsida; Poales; Poaceae
Description: partial small subunit ribosomal RNA
Source: RNAcentral
AUGACGCCAGCCCCAAGAAACCCCUUCUCGUCGGGCUUCCCGCACGCCGACGCCCACGCCGCCCAAUCGACGCCAGUCCCGACGUCUCCUGAUGGCAUCUUCCAGAGAUAUCUCUUGCCGCUGAAGAAGAGGGCGACGACUGCGAGCGACGGCAGCAGCGCCGACGAUUCAUUCGUGGUCCCGCUGAAGAAGAGACGGGUGGUGGACACCGGGGGCGAGGGCACCUGCACCAGCGCGAUCCCGGUUCAGAGCCGGCCGAGGCGAACGGCGGCCUGCAACGUUGCGUACGUGAGCAUGGAGGAAGAAGAAGCCGGGACGUCAGCGGCCGGGGCGGCGGGAUCGAAGAAGAACAGGAACAGGAACAGGAAUAGCAGUAGAAAGAACGGACCGCGGCCGGCGCGUGACGCCGCCCCGCUGGUCAACAGGCCGCUGCACCUCAGCGAGGCGCAGCGGCAGCACCUCGAGACGCUCGGCGCCACGGCCCCGCAGUUCGUCAUCAUGAAGAGCCUCCAGAUGAGCGACGUGGACCGCAACCAGAACCGGCUCCUCUUCUCGUGCAAGCGCGAGUUCCUCGAGGGCCACCCCAUCACCGGCAUCUUAGCCGAGAAGGAGACGCGCCACGUGCACCAUCACCGCGGGCUGAGCGUGGUUGUCCAAGACGACCACAGCAACCAGUUCAAUUUCACGCUCAAGUACCUCGACUCCAACGGCGGGUACCGCUUCAUUGGCACCGGCUGGAACGACUUCGUGUCCAAGAACAAGCUGGUGAAGGACGAUCUCCAUUUUGUCGUCGAGGUGUGGGCGUUCCGGUCGCCGGAGCUGCCCGCGCAGCCCAAGGUUCCCGGCAUCGAGGGGCUGCAGGGCCACCCUGACGGCGCCCUCGGGUUUCUCCUCCGAUUACAUCACGACGAGAGCAGGGACGUCCACCGCGGCGAGGAAGAAAGGGAGUUUGCGCCGCGGCCGGUUCAGAAGAAGAAGAGACAGGCGCCGGCCAAGGCGGUGCGAUCAAAGAAGCUUGCGGGUGGGCAUGUGAGUCAGGGCCAAGCCGUGGCGAGGGACGUGACGAGGGCUGAGAUAGUUGAGGCGGUUGGGGAGGAAAUGGCGGAUGCGUUGUUCGGGCUGUUGAUGCUAAGGUCCAGUGGGCCCGUUCCGAUGCUUCCCUUUGAAAAAACAUCGACUGCUCAGAUUUGCUAG